AGGUCAAGCGAACAAGGGCGCAGGGCGAAUGCCUUGGCACUGGGAGCCGAUGAAAGACGUGAUAAGCUGCGAUAAGCUUCGGGGAGCUGCAAAUAAGCAUUGAUCCGGAGAUUUCUGAAUGAGGAAACUCACCUGGGUUCAUACUCAGGUACGUUAUACUGAACUUAAAAAUAGGUAUAUCGAGGGAACCGCCUGAACUGAAACAUCUAAGUAGGGCGAGGAAGAGACAUCAAACGAGAUUCCGUAAGUAGUGGCGAGCGAACGCGGAAGAGGGCAAACCGGAAGUAGAAAUACUUCCGGGGUACGGACCGCAUUUAGGACUUAAGUUGUUAACCGAACGGCAUGGGAAGGCCGGUCAGAGAGUGUGAGAACCACGUAGGUGAAAACGACAAGAGCUGAGCGAGUUCCAGAGUACGGCCAGACACGUGAAACCUGGUCGGAAUACGGGGGGACCACCCUCCAACCCUAAAUACUACCCAGUGACCGAUAGCGUAUAGUACUGUGAAGGAAAGGUGAAAAGCACCCCGGGAGGGGAGUGAAAAAGAACCUGAAACCCUGUGCCUACAAGCACCUAGAGCACGUCAAUGUGUGAUAGGGUACUUUUUGUAGAACGGUCCGGCGAGCGAUUGUAUGCAGCAAGGUUAAGGACUUAAGGUCUGGAGCCGAAGCGAAAGCGAGUUUGAAAAGGGCGUUAAGUUGCAUACAAUGGGCCCGAAACCGGGUGACCUACCCAUGGUCAGGUUGAAGUGGAAGUAAAAUUCCAUGGAGGACCGAACCGACCUCCGUUGAAAAGGCGGCGGAUGAACUGUGGGUAGCGGAGAAAUUCCAAUCGAACCCGGAGAUAGCUGGUUCUCCCCGAAAUAGUUUUAGGACUAGCCUCAAGUUAGAUACCUGGAGGUAAAGCACUGAAUAGCCUAGCGGCCGAGAGGUUAGCGAAGCUUAUCAAACUCAGAAUGCCAGAGUAUUGAUGCUUGGGAGUCAGACAGUGUCAGAUAAAUGUCAUUGUCAAAAGGGAAACAGCCCAGAUCUACAGCUAAGGUCCCAAAGUCAGGUUAAGUGGAAAACGAUGUGAAGAUACGUAGACAACCAGGAUGUUGGCUCAGAAGCAGCCACACAUUCAAAGAGUGCGUAAUAGCUCACUGGUCGAGCGUCUUUGCGCGGAGAAUUUAACGGGGCUAAACCUGACACCGAAGCUUAGGCAAUACAGCAAUGUAUUGGGUAGGGGAGCGUUGUAUACGCGGUGAAACAGUAGCGCAAGCGGCUGUGGAGUGUAUAGAAGUGAGAAUGCCGGAAUGAGUAGCGCGAAUGCAGUGAGAAUCUGCAUGGCCGAAAGCCUCAGGUUUCUGGAGGAAGGUUCGUCCGCUCCAGGUUAGUCGGGAGCUAAGGUGAGGCCUAACGGCGUAGCCGAUGCACAGACGGUAGAGAUUCCGUCACCACCAAAAGAGUUAAACACAGGGACACAUUUGAAGUCUCGGAGCCGGGUGUUGGUUCCGGUAGCGAUCGAGGGAAAUUAGUACCGAAGUCCGGGAUGGAAGAUGGCGAGAAAAGCUGUGUGUAUUUCUGCGGUGCCCGUACCGCAAACCGACACAGGUAGGUAGGAAGAAGAUUCUAAGGCCAACGGGAGAAGGGUUGUUAAGGAACUCGGCAAAUUGACCCCGUAACUUCGGGAGAAGGGGUGCUCCAGAGAUGGAGCCGCAGAGAAUCGGCCCAAGCAACUGUUUACCAAAAACACAGGUUUGUGCUAAAUCGAAAGAUGACGUAUACGAGCUGACGCCUGCCCGGUGCUGGAAGGUUAAGAGGAGAUGUGCAAGCAUUGAAUCGAAGCCCCAGUGAACGGCGGCCGUAACUAUAACGGUCCUAAGGUAGCGAAAUUCCUUGUCAGGUAAGUUCUGACCCGCAUGAAAGGCGUAAUGAUUUGGGCACUGUCUCGACAGCCCGCCCGGCGAAAUUGUAGUACCGGUGAAGAUGCCGGUUACCCGCGACAAGACGGAAAGACCCCAUGGAGCUUUACUGUAGCCUAAUAUUGGGUUUCGAUGUUGCAUGCACAGGAUAGAUGGGACACAGGGAAACAAGUGCUUUGGCAUUUGUGGAGUGGCCGUUGGGAUACCAUCCUUGCGAUAUUGGAAUUCUAACCUGCGCCUUUGAAUCAAGGCGGGGGACAUUGUUAGGUGGGCAGUUUGACUGGGGCGGUCGCCUCCUAAAGAGUAACGGAGGCGUUCAAAGGUUCGCUCAGCUUGAACGGAAAUCAAGCAAAAGAGUGCAAACGCAGAAGCGAGCCUAACUGCGAGACUGACGGGUCGAGCAGUAACGAAAGUUGGAGUUAGUGAUCCGGUGGUAUGUGAGUGGAAAUGCCAUCGCUCAACGGAUAAAAGUUACCCUGGGGAUAACAGGCUGAUCUCCCCCAAGAGUCCACAUCGACGGGGAGGUUUGGCACCUCGAUGUCGGCUCAUCGCAUCCUGGGGCUGUAUUCGGUCCCAAGGGUUUGGCUGUUCGCCAAUUAAAGCGGUACGCGAGCUGGGUUCAGAACGUCGUGAGACAGUUCGGUCCCUAUCUGUCGUGGGCGCAGGAUAUUUGAUGGGAGCUGUUCCUAGUACGAGAGGACCGGAGCGGACGUACCUCUGGCGCACCAGUUGUUCUGCCAAGGGCAUAGCUGGGCAACUAUGUACGGAUCGGAUAAACGCUGAAAGCAUCUAAGCGUGAAGCCGACCCAAAGAUAAGAUAUCCCAUUGUUUCAAACAAGUAAGACCCCUUGAAGACUACAAGGUUGAUAGGCACGAUGUGUAAGUGGAGCGAUCCAUUCAGCAAGCGUGUACUAAUAGGUCGAGGGCUUGACCACA
This 2837-nucleotide ribosomal RNA is filed under the name Faecalibacterium prausnitzii. RNAcentral describes it as "bacterial LSU rRNA". It matches the Rfam family "Bacterial large subunit ribosomal RNA". The record is from RNAcentral. Lineage: Bacteria; Bacillati; Bacillota; Clostridia; Eubacteriales; Oscillospiraceae.